AACGAACGCUGGCGGCAGGCCUAACACAUGCAAGUCGAGCGCUCUAACCACUUCGGUGGGGAUGGGAGCGGCGGACGGGUUAGUAACGCGUGGGAACGUGCCCUUUGCUACGGAACAACGGCUGGAAACGGCUACUAAUACCGUAUGUGCCCUACGGGGGAAAGAUUUAUCGGCAAAGGAUCGGCCCGCGUUGGAUUAGAUAGUUGGUGAGGUAAUGGCUCACCAAGUCUGCGAUCCAUAGCUGGUUUGAGAGGAUGAUCAGCAACACUGGGACUGAGACACGGCCCAG
This 289-nucleotide ribosomal RNA is filed under the name uncultured bacterium. RNAcentral describes it as "partial 16S ribosomal RNA". It matches the Rfam family "Bacterial small subunit ribosomal RNA", at positions 29 to 334 of the family's 1533-position model. The record is from RNAcentral.